GACGAACGCUGGCGGCGUGCCUAAGACAUGCAAGUCGAGCGGGGUUUCGGGGCUUCGGCCCUGAGACCCAGCGGCGGACGGGUGAGUAACACGUGGAUAACCUGCCCUCUGCUCUGGGAUAACAGGCCGAAAGGCCUGCUAAUACCGGAUAAGCUCACGGACCCGCAUGGGUUUGGGAGAAAAGGCGCUGGAGUCGGUGGCGCUGGCAGAGGAGGGGUCCGCGGCCCAUUAGCUGGUUGGCGGGGUAACGGCCCACCAAGGCGACGAUGGGUAGCCGGCCUGAGAGGGCGACCGGCCACACUGGGACUGAGACACGGCCCAGACUCCUACGGGAGGCAGCAGUCGGGAAUUUUGCACAAUGGCCGAAAGGCUGAUGCAGCAACGCCGCGUGAGCGAAGAAGGCCUUCGGGUUGUAAAGCUCUGUUGCCUGCGAAGAAGGGCCCUGUCAGGAAAUGGGCGGGGUUUGACGGUAGCAGGCGAGGAAGCCCCGGCAAACUACGUGCCAGCAGCCGCGGUAAUACGUAGGGGGCGAGCGUUGUCCGGAAUUACUGGGCGUAAAGGGCGUGUAGGCGGCCUGUUAAGUCAGGGGUGAAAGACCGGGGCUCAACCCCGGGGGUGCCUCUGAAACUGGCGGGCUUGAGUGCUCUAGAGGGCAGUGGAAUUCCCGGUGUAGCAGUGAAAUGCGUAGAGAUCGGGAGGAACACCAGUGGCGAAGGCGGCUGCCUGGGGAGUCACUGACGCUGAGGCGCGAAAGCUAGGGGAGCAAACAGGAUUAGAUACCCUGGUAGUCCUAGCCGUAAACGAUGAGCGCUAUGUGUGAGGGGUAUCGACCCCCCUCGUGCAGUAGCUAACGCAUUAAGCGCUCCGCCUGGGGAGUACGGCCGCAAGGUUGA
RNAcentral lists this ribosomal RNA (893 nucleotides) under uncultured Bacillota bacterium. RNAcentral's name for it is "bacterial SSU rRNA". It matches the Rfam family "Bacterial small subunit ribosomal RNA", at positions 28 to 897 of the family's 1533-position model. Lineage: Bacteria; Bacillati; Bacillota. The record is from RNAcentral.